AUCUGUACUUAUUGCGGAAGUUUUGGCUGAUAUGAGGUGGAAGCAAUCGUCACAUGCUAAGGGAUCUCUAGUCAUAUAACAUUGUUCGGAACCAAGCAAACAUAAUUCAUUAUGUUGUCUUCCUUGUCCAAGAUCUACUUCUAAGCAUGUAAUAGUUUAAUGAGUGUUCACAAUCAUAGAUGGUGUCCAAGAUGAUAUAUUUAUA
RNAcentral lists this long non-coding RNA (205 nucleotides) under Hordeum vulgare. Its description in RNAcentral is "long non-coding RNA (HVUL_LNC007431)". The record is from RNAcentral. Lineage: Eukaryota; Viridiplantae; Streptophyta; Magnoliopsida; Poales; Poaceae.